AAAUCUUUCUUUCACCAUUCCCUAAAUCUUCCUAUAUAUAGUUCAGCAAUUGCACCAACCUUUCGAAUAGGUGGUACCUUCCGAAAUUCACCGAUUUCUGCAGAAUUCAUGGCCGCCAACGCUCUCACCACACUUUUCUUUAUCGUCUUACUUUCAACUUCAUCCAUCUCAUCUGCAACAUCAAGAAUAGUUCCCCGGACAAGAAGUAAGUUUCGUAGUCCAAUACCUUAAAUAAGCUCUGAUAUCUUGGUUUAUCGCUUUAUGUAUGUUGUACUCUGGUCUUAUGCAGAUGGAUUUCGGGGUAAAGCUGCCAAUCUUUUAGAGGUAAAGAUAGGCCCAGGUGCCUAUCCAUCACCACGUUCUGGAGGCCAGAGUGUUCCUCCCCCGCCUUCCUCCACGUAGCCUUAGAUGAUUGAUAUCCUACAAUCAGAUGAUACUUCAGGAUUUGGGCUGGGAUAUUACUUAUUUUUAUAAUUGUUUGUAAGCCUAUAUACGAAUGUGCAUCUCAAGGAUCAAAAUUAUCUGUUUUUAUAUGUCUUCGUUUUGCUUAUGGAGAGCUGUAUAUUCAGUUUCCUCUUGUUUGUUUUGUGGUUCAUUUGGAUGGUGCUCGAUUUGUUCAUGGUCGGUAAAUAUCUAAACAAUGAUCCCACGACUGAUGCAUAACGUAGCCGGUUAUAUCCAUGUAAAUUGAUGCCUUUGCUAAGUUGAUGGAUUCAAAUCACUUAUCAUGUCUGCUCUAUAAAUCUAAGGGUUUUUCUAGCAGGUGUUUUUAUGGACAUUCGAUUAAC
This 788-nucleotide long non-coding RNA is filed under the name Coffea arabica (coffee). Its description in RNAcentral is "long non-coding RNA (CARA_LNC002234)". Lineage: Eukaryota; Viridiplantae; Streptophyta; Magnoliopsida; Gentianales; Rubiaceae. The record is from RNAcentral.